UACAGAGGUGGCAAGCGUUGUUCGGAAUUACUGGGCGUAAAGGGCGCGUAGGCGGCCUCCUAAGUCAGACGUGAAAUCCCCCGGCUUAACCUGGGAACUGCGUCUGAUACUGGGAGGCUUGAGUAUGGGAGAGGGAUGUAGAAUUCCAGGUGUAGCGGUGAAAUGCGUAGAUAUCUGGAGGAAUACCGGUGGCGAAGGCGGCAUCCUGGACCAUAACUGACGCUGAGGAGCGAAAGCCAGGGGAGCAAACGGG
RNAcentral lists this ribosomal RNA (253 nucleotides) under uncultured bacterium. RNAcentral describes it as "partial 16S ribosomal RNA". It matches the Rfam family "Bacterial small subunit ribosomal RNA", at positions 524 to 776 of the family's 1533-position model. The record is from RNAcentral.